Molecule: ribosomal RNA, 1016 nt
Filed under: Pseudomonas sp.
Lineage: Bacteria; Pseudomonadati; Pseudomonadota; Gammaproteobacteria; Pseudomonadales; Pseudomonadaceae
Description: bacterial SSU rRNA
Rfam family: Bacterial small subunit ribosomal RNA
Source: RNAcentral
UGCAAGUCGAGCGGAUGAAAGGAGCUUGCUCCUGGAUUCAGCGGCGGACGGGUGAGUAAUGCCUAGGAAUCUGCCUGGUAGUGGGGGACAACGUUUCGAAAGGAACGCUAAUACCGCAUACGUCCUACGGGAGAAAGCAGGGGACCUUCGGGCCUUGCGCUAUCAGAUGAGCCUAGGUCGGAUUAGCUAGUUGGUGAGGUAAUGGCUCACCAAGGCGACGAUCCGUAACUGGUCUGAGAGGAUGAUCAGUCACACUGGAACUGAGACACGGUCCAGACUCCUACGGGAGGCAGCAGUGGGGAAUAUUGGACAAUGGGCGAAAGCCUGAUCCAGCCAUGCCGCGUGUGUGAAGAAGGUCUUCGGAUUGUAAAGCACUUUAAGUUGGGAGGAAGGGUUGUAGAUUAAUACUCUGCAAUUUUGACGUUACCGACAGAAUAAGCACCGGCUAACUCUGUGCCAGCAGCCGCGGUAAUACAGAGGGUGCAAGCGUUAAUCGGAAUUACUGGGCGUAAAGCGCGCGUAGGUGGUUUGUUAAGUUGGAUGUGAAAUCCCCGGGCUCAACCUGGGAACUGCAUCCAAAACUGGCAAGCUAGAGUAUGGUAGAGGGUGGUGGAAUUUCCUGUGUAGCGGUGAAAUGCGUAGAUAUAGGAAGGAACACCAGUGGCGAAGGCGACCACCUGGACUGAUACUGACACUGAGGUGCGAAAGCGUGGGGAGCAAACAGGAUUAGAUACCCUGGUAGUCCACGCCGUAAACGAUGUCAACUAGCCGUUGGGAGCCUUGAGCUCUUAGUGGCGCAGCUAACGCAUUAAGUUGACCGCCUGGGGAGUACGGCCGCAAGGUUAAAACUCAAAUGAAUUGACGGGGGCCCGCACAAGCGGUGGAGCAUGUGGUUUAAUUUCGAAGCAACGCGAAGAAUCCUUACCAGGCCUUGACAUCCCAAUGAACUUUCCAGAGAUGGGAUUGGUGCCUUUCGGAACAUUUGAGACAGGUGCUGCAUGGGCUGUCGUCAGCUC